GGGGAUUUAGCUCAAUGGUAGAGCACUUGCCUAGCAAGCACAAGGCCCUGGGUUCGGUCCCCAGCUCCG
Non-coding RNA from Rattus norvegicus (Norway rat), 69 nucleotides. Lineage: Eukaryota; Metazoa; Chordata; Mammalia; Rodentia; Muridae. The record is from Rfam.